Molecule: long non-coding RNA, 737 nt
Organism: Dipodomys spectabilis (banner-tailed kangaroo rat)
Lineage: Eukaryota; Metazoa; Chordata; Mammalia; Rodentia; Heteromyidae
Exons: 2
Source: RefSeq, a predicted model, not a curated record
AGGGAGGAGCCGAAGUUUCCCAAGCCGCGCGCAGGCCCGAGUGCCCAUUCUGCCCGGCCCGCCUGGCGCGCCCGACCGGCGGCCACAAUCCGCCCCUCGCACAAAAGUGGCCCGGCAGGUUCCGGGCCGCGGCCAACGCGCCCGCUCCGGCUCGGCUCGGCUGCCAGGAGCCAGCGAUCCCCGGCAGCAGUCGGAGCCUCAGACACCCAGAAUGAGAGCUGAGAGAGAACCGGUCACGGGUGGAGGUUUCACGCGCCUUCCCGGAGGAACAAGCAAUGCACGCGGACCCCACGUGUACCUCGUGGGAAAACGCAGCCAUAGGCCUACUUGCGUGGUGUAUUCCGCUUGACCCUCUCCGGGACACAAGGCAAUAGGCAUACAAUUGGCCUUGGACUGAGCGGACGGAGCGCACGGCCCGGCUAAGAUCGUCCAAGAGCCCUGCCCGGGGGGCAUCGAAGCCUGGCAUCCACGUCACGCGAGGGAACCCUCGGCUCCCAUACAGCCAGCCCAGCCCAGAGGACCCCCGCCAAGCACGCGCGCACUGCAAAGAGAGACUGGCACGCCGCACACGCGCCCCGCGCACCCUGCCCGGAGUCCCACGCCCAGAUAGUCAUCGUGGGUUGGCAUCCCGCAAAUAUUUAUAUUCCUCAGCGCCACAGCGGCCCGCGUCCACAUUAGACGCUCUAAUCCUGCCACUUUAAAUAGAUGAAUUAAUAAAGCAAACGAGCGGCUAAUAA